RNAcentral lists this ribosomal RNA (455 nucleotides) under uncultured bacterium. RNAcentral describes it as "bacterial SSU rRNA". It matches the Rfam family "Bacterial small subunit ribosomal RNA", at positions 340 to 786 of the family's 1533-position model. The record is from RNAcentral.
UACGGAAGGCAGCAGUGGGGAAUAUUGCACAAUGGGCGAAAGCCUGAUGCAGCUAUGCCGCGUGUAUGAAGAAGGCCUUAGGGUUGUAAAGUACUUUCAUCGGGGAGGAAAAACAAAACUAAUAAUUUUAUUUCUUGACGUUACCCGAAAAAGAAGCACCGGCUAACUCCGUGCCAGCAGCCGCGGUAAUACGGAGGGUGCUAGCGUUAAUCAGAAUUACUGGGCGUAAAGAGCACGUAGGUGGUUUUUUUAAGUCAGAUGUGAAAUCCCUGGGCUUAACCUAGGAACUGCAUUUUGAAACUGAAAUACUAGAGUAUCGUAGAGGGAGGUAGAAUUCUAGGUGUAGCGGUGAAAUGCGUAGAUAUCUGGAGGAAUACCUGUGGCGAAAGCGGCCUCCUAAACGAAUACUGACACUGAGUGCGAAAGCGUGGGGAGCAAACGAGGGAUUAGAUACC